RNAcentral lists this small RNA (26 nucleotides) under Arabidopsis thaliana (thale cress). RNAcentral's name for it is "ATSL107920". Lineage: Eukaryota; Viridiplantae; Streptophyta; Magnoliopsida; Brassicales; Brassicaceae. The record is from RNAcentral.
UUGUCCCACUACAUAUGCCUCCUGAU